GCUAUAAUGCAGUCGAGGGGCAGCACGGGUAGCAAUAUCUGGUGGCGACCGGCGCACGGGUGCGUAACACGUAUGUAACCUACCUUAAACUGGGGAAUAGCCCCUUGAAAAAGGGAUUAAUACCCCAUAACACUGCGAUAAGGCAUCUUAUUGCAGUUAAAGUUCCGACGGUUUAAGAUGGACAUGCGCGACAUUAGCUAGUUGGUGAGGUAACGGCUCACCAAGGCUGUGAUGUCUAGGGGUUCUGAGAGGAAAAUCCCCCACACUGGUACUGAGACACGGACCAGACUCCUACGGGAGGCAGCAGUAAGGAAUAUUGGUCAAUGGGCGCAAGCCUGAACCAGCCAUGCCGCGUGCAGGAUGACGGCCCUAUGGGUUGUAAACUGCUUUUGUACGGGAAAAAACCCCUUUACGUGUAAAGGGCUGAUGGUACCGUAAGAAUAAGGAUCGGCUAACUCCGUGCCAGCAGCCGCGGUAAUACGGAGGAUCCAAGCGUUAUCCGGAUUUAUUGGGUUUAAAGGGUGCGCAGGCGGAAUAAUAAGUCAGUGGUGAAAUCCUGCAGCUUAACUGCAGAACUGCCAUUGAUACUGUUAUUCUUGAGUAUAGUUGAAGUGGGCGGAAUGUGUCAUGUAGCGGUGAAAUGCUUAGAUAUGACACAGAACACCAAUUGCGAGGGCAGCUCACUAAGCUAUAACUGACGCUCAUGCACGAAAGCGUGGGGAUCAAACAGGAUUAGAUACCCUGGUAGUCCACGCCGUAAACGAUGAUUACUCGAUGUUGGCGAUACACAGUCAGCGUCUAAGCGAAAGCAAUAAGUAAU
Molecule: ribosomal RNA, 820 nt
Filed under: uncultured bacterium
Lineage: Bacteria
Description: bacterial SSU rRNA
Rfam family: Bacterial small subunit ribosomal RNA
Source: RNAcentral